Molecule: non-coding RNA, 74 nt
Organism: Phrynosoma platyrhinos (Desert horned lizard)
Lineage: Eukaryota; Metazoa; Chordata; Lepidosauria; Squamata; Phrynosomatidae
Source: the annotation of a GenBank genome assembly
AUAAUAAUGGCAUGGUGGUCUGAGUGUUGGACUAUGACUCUGGAGACUAGGGUUCGAAUCCCUGUUUGGUUGUG